Molecule: microRNA, 21 nt
Filed under: Cyprinus carpio (common carp)
Lineage: Eukaryota; Metazoa; Chordata; Actinopteri; Cypriniformes; Cyprinidae
Description: ccr-miR-2192
Source: miRBase by way of RNAcentral
UGGAAGUGAAUGGUGACUGAG